Molecule: ribosomal RNA, 459 nt
Filed under: uncultured bacterium
Lineage: Bacteria
Description: partial 16S ribosomal RNA
Rfam family: Bacterial small subunit ribosomal RNA
Source: RNAcentral
CCUACGGGAGGCAGCAGUGAGGAAUAUUGGUCAAUGGCCGCAGGCCUGAACCAGCCAAGUCGCGUGAGGGAUGACGGUCCUUUGGAUUGUAAACCUCUUUUGUCAGGGAGCAAAGGGCGCCACGUGUGGCGUUUUGCGAGUACCUGAAGAAAAAGCAUCGGCUAACUCCGUGCCAGCAGCCGCGGUAAUACGGAGGAUGCGAGCGUUAUCCGGAUUUAUUGGGUUUAAAGGGUGCGCAGGCGGAAGGUCAAGUCAGCGGUAAAAUUUCGGGGCUCAACCCCGUCGUGCCGUUGAAACUGGCGUUCUUGAGUGAGCGAGAAGUAUGCGGAAUGCGUGGUGUAGCGGUGAAAUGCAUAGAUAUCACGCAGAACUCCGAUUGCGAAGGCAGCAUACCGGCGCUCAACUGACGCUCAUGCACGAAAGCGUGGGUAUCGAACAGGAUUAGAUACCCCAGUAGUC